RNAcentral lists this ribosomal RNA (508 nucleotides) under uncultured bacterium. RNAcentral's name for it is "partial 16S ribosomal RNA". It matches the Rfam family "Bacterial small subunit ribosomal RNA", at positions 28 to 523 of the family's 1533-position model. The record is from RNAcentral.
GACGAACGCUGGCGGCGUGCCUAAUACAUGCAAGUCGAGCGGAGCUUAUCCUUCGGGGUAAGCUUAGCGGCGGACGGGUGAGUAACACGUAGGCAACCUACCCUGUAGACUGGGAUAACUACCGGAAACGGUAGCUAAUACCGGAUAAUUCCUUUCUUCUCCUGAAGAAAGGAUGAAAGGCGGAGCAAUCUGCUACUAGAGGAUGGGCCUGCGGCGCAUUAGCUAGUUGGUGGGGUAACGGCCCACCAAGGCGACGAUGCGUAGCCGACCUGAGAGGGUGAACGGCCACACUGGGGCGGAGACACGGCCCAGACUCCUACGGGAGGCAGCAGUAGGGAAUCUUCCGCAAUGGGCGAAAGCCUGACGGAGCAACGCCGCGUGAGUGAUGAAGGUUUUCGGAUCGUAAAGCUCUGUUGCCAGGGAAGAACGUCCGGUAGAGUAACUGCUACCGGAGUGACGGUACCUGAGAAGAAAGCCCCGGCUAACUACGUGCCAGCAGCCGCCGUAA